This is a long non-coding RNA of Peromyscus eremicus (cactus mouse), 632 nucleotides long. RefSeq lists it as uncharacterized. The record is from RefSeq and is a predicted model, not a curated record. NCBI's taxonomy places the organism in Eukaryota, Metazoa, Chordata, Mammalia, Rodentia, Cricetidae. The transcript is spliced from 3 exons.
AGUAGACUGGUCCAGGCACCCUCUGGACCACUGCCAGCAGACCAAGGGUCUUUUCCUGUUAGCUAGCCUCUCUGGAGUUGUGGGUUGCAGUCUGGCCAUCCUUUCCCUCACAUCUGGUAUCUACUUAUGAAACUUUCCAUGGAACAGUAGCAGAAUUCAUUUUUAUCAGCAGCCUGAGCAGUUACUUUUCAAGAUGGUUUUAUGCAAAGCAAAUCUUCUCAAAAACAAGGUAAUUGAAAUAAUUUUUAUUUUUAUAAGAUCACAGUAUAAAAAAUACAAAAAAGAACAAAAAUAAACUAUAGAAAAUAUGUAAACACAUGGAGGCUAGAAAACAAAACACUGAACAAUCAGUGAAAUGCUAAAGAAAUUGGGAGUGGAUUCCAAAGUUCUUAGACACAAAUGGUGGUAGGAAUAGAGCAUAACAUUCUUGAAAUGUAUGAAAAUAACAGAGCAUUGGAAUCUACAAAAAAUAAAGUGUUGCAAGAGGGAAGUCGAAGUCUAUUUGAUAUAAAGGUAUACAUUUAAAAAUUAGGGACUAGUAGAUGGUUCAGCAAGUAAAGGUACAUGCCAACAAGUCUGAAUUCAAAUCCUGGGAAACAUGGUAGAAUAAAGGCAUUGAACACUAGUAAACU